ACAGUAUCUAGUUUGUCUUUUCUCUUAAAAUAUUCUGUUAACUCAUUAAUUGACUGUUUCUCAAGAGAGACUGCUUAAAUUAGUCGUAGAUUUAUUACUUUCUAUGCAAUGAUUUAGCUGUCUCUAAGUUGUCUGGUCAUAUAAGGAGAGUUGAUUGAAUUUACACAUGCCAAUCAACCUACUGUUGCCCUCAUUGCAUAAUGUGAUCCAUAUAGCCGACCCAAUCUAG
This 229-nucleotide unclassified non-coding RNA is filed under the name Hevea brasiliensis (rubber tree). Lineage: Eukaryota; Viridiplantae; Streptophyta; Magnoliopsida; Malpighiales; Euphorbiaceae. The record is from RNAcentral.